CCUACGGGAGGCAGCAGUGGGGAAUAUUGGUCAAUGGGCGCAAGCCUGACCCAGCAACGCCGCGUGAGGGAAGAAGGCUUUCGGGUUCUAAACUUCUUUUAUCCGGGGCGAAACAAAUGACGGUACCUGAUGAAUGAGCCAAGGCUAACUACGUGCCAGCAGCCGCGGUGAUACGGAGGUGGCAAGCGUUAUCCGGAUGUACUGGGUGUAAAGGGCGUGUAGGCGGGCUUGCAAGUCAGAUGUGAAAUUCCAGGGCUCAACCCUGGAACUGCAGUUGAAACUGGAGGUCUUGAGUGCUGGAGAGGCAAGCGGAAUGCCGGGUGUAGCGGUGAAAUGCGUAGAUAUCCGGAGGAACACCAGUGGCGAAGGCGGAUUGCUGGACACUAACUGACGCUGAGGCGCGAAAGCGUGGGGAGCAAACAGGAUUAGAUACCCGAGUAGUC
Molecule: ribosomal RNA, 443 nt
Filed under: uncultured bacterium
Lineage: Bacteria
Description: partial 16S ribosomal RNA
Rfam family: Bacterial small subunit ribosomal RNA
Source: RNAcentral